CUAUAUGACGAAACGAGGCACGAGAGGUAGAGUGGGAGACGUAGAGUACAGGCCAUGAUAUAGCGAAUCUCUCACAUUGAGGAAGUAAAGACUCAUUCAUAGUCACACGAUACUUCGGCAAAGCCGUGAUAAUAUUCCUAGAAAAAGAGUGGUAGUGAUGGAGUCAAGUAUGUUGCAAAUAUGGCCAGUAGUUUAGUCAAGUAGCAAAUAAAACCGAAUUUACACUGUGUGGUUUCACAAUGGAUGAUUCAUCGAAAAACAUCAUUGUCGUCCUCCUCGUUCCAUCCGCAAUGAUUCUCCAAGGUUCGUUGAGCUCGCGAAGGUGCGACGAUCUUGGCAAAAAGAGACCUCAAGAGGAAUUUCUCCGAACAACAUCGAAUAGUGCGCGACAAUGAAAGG
Long non-coding RNA from Bombus impatiens (common eastern bumble bee), 399 nucleotides. RefSeq lists it as uncharacterized. NCBI's taxonomy places the organism in Eukaryota, Metazoa, Arthropoda, Insecta, Hymenoptera, Apidae. The record is from RefSeq and is a predicted model, not a curated record. The transcript has 3 exons.